UACGUAGGGGGCAAGCGUUGUCCGGAUUUAUUGGGCGUAAAGAGCGUGUAGGCGGCCAGGUAGGUCAGCUGUGAAAACUCGAGGCUCAACCUCGAGAUGUCGGCUGAAACCAUCUGGCUAGAGUCCGGAAGAGGAGAAUGGAAUUCCCGGUGUAGCGGUGAAAUGCGCAGAUAUCGGGAAGAACACCCGUGGCGAAGGCAGCUCUCUGGGACGGUACUGACGCUGAGACGCGAAAGCGUGGGGAGCGAACAGG
RNAcentral lists this ribosomal RNA (253 nucleotides) under uncultured bacterium. Its description in RNAcentral is "partial 16S ribosomal RNA". It matches the Rfam family "Bacterial small subunit ribosomal RNA", at positions 524 to 776 of the family's 1533-position model. The record is from RNAcentral.